Acanthosepion pharaonis is the source of this 109-nucleotide non-coding RNA. The record is from the annotation of a GenBank genome assembly. NCBI's taxonomy places the organism in Eukaryota, Metazoa, Mollusca, Cephalopoda, Sepiida, Sepiidae.
CAGCCAUAUCACGUUAAAACACCGGUUCUCGAACGAUCAACAAAGUUAAGCAACAUCGAGCCUAAUCAGUACGUAGAUGGGUGACGGCUUAGAAAUAACUGGUGCUGUG